UGGCAGACGGGUGAAUAACACGUGGGAACCUUCCUCGUAGUACGGAACAACUCAGGGAAACUUGAGCUAAUACCGUAUACGUCCGAGAGGAGAAAGAUUUAUCGCUAUGAGACGGGCCCGCGUCCGAUUAGCUAGUUGGUGGGGUAACGGCCUACCAAGGCAACGAUCGGUAGCUGAUCUGAGAGGAUGAUCAGCCACACUGGGACUGAGACACGGCCCAG
RNAcentral lists this ribosomal RNA (221 nucleotides) under uncultured bacterium. RNAcentral's name for it is "partial 16S ribosomal RNA". It matches the Rfam family "Bacterial small subunit ribosomal RNA", at positions 96 to 334 of the family's 1533-position model. The record is from RNAcentral.